Long non-coding RNA from Triticum aestivum (bread wheat), 630 nucleotides. RefSeq lists it as uncharacterized. The record is from RefSeq and is a predicted model, not a curated record. The transcript is spliced from 4 exons. Lineage: Eukaryota; Viridiplantae; Streptophyta; Magnoliopsida; Poales; Poaceae.
UCGUCCCAAGAGAGCACGCCUCUUCUCCACCUCUCCGCACGCCUACUCUCCACCUCUCGCCGAAACUCUCUCGUGCAGGGCAUCUGUCCGCCGUGGACGAUCUGUACCGGUCGCCUCCUCCGUCUGCUGCCGUUGUCCACCCAUCCCCUCCCUCUAAUCAAUUCUCUUACUGGGGCCAACGAUUCUGCAGGUAAUCUCACUCAUCCCCGGAUCAGUCCAAGUCCGUUGCCGGAAAGAUUUCUUUCGAACAGACACGGGAUGAUUGCGUAACUAUUCCACGUACGACAUCUGGUGCUACAGUUUUUGUUUGACAGAGAAUCCAACAGUUGUGCAAAACUACUGUACAAGAUGUGUCCCAUGUGUAGCACCACUCGGAUGGUAAUGAAGAGAUCCUUGGUAUGUGUAACAGUGAUCCAUCUCUCCAUGGAGCGUUAGUGUUGACAGAAUCAAGGAGAAAUUACAAAAGGAAGACUUAUGAGCAUGCCUAUGGUUGCUGCAUAAUGUUGCUGCAUGGUAUUCCUUCCGGUUGAUUAAGCAUUUCCAUUCUAGCAUUACAAUGUGCUUAACUGAGUUCUUAAUUAGAUUCUUCUUUUAUUUUAUUACAAGUGUGUGUUGGCUUCGAUUGUUCAA